UACGGAGGGUGCAAGCGUUAUCCGGAUUUACUGGGGUUAAAGGGUGUGUAGGCGGUCUUUUAAGUCAGCGGUGAAAUCUCCGGGCUCAACCCGGAAACUGCCAUUGAUACUAUGAGUCUUGAAUGUUGUUGAGGUGGGCGGAACGGGUCAUGUAGCGGUGAAAUGCAUAGAUAUGAUCAAGAACACCAAUUGCGUAGGCAGGCUGCUAGGACUGAGUUGACGCUGAGGCACGAGAGCAUGGGGAGCAAACAGG
This 253-nucleotide ribosomal RNA is filed under the name uncultured bacterium. RNAcentral's name for it is "partial 16S ribosomal RNA". It matches the Rfam family "Bacterial small subunit ribosomal RNA", at positions 524 to 776 of the family's 1533-position model. The record is from RNAcentral.